RNAcentral lists this ribosomal RNA (993 nucleotides) under human metagenome. Its description in RNAcentral is "bacterial LSU rRNA". It matches the Rfam family "Bacterial large subunit ribosomal RNA", at positions 1934 to 2925 of the family's 2925-position model. The record is from RNAcentral.
CCGUAACUAUAACGGUCCUAAGGUAGCGAAAUUCCUUGUCGGGUAAGUUCCGACCUGCACGAAUGGCAUAAUGAUGGCCAGGCUGUCUCCACCCGAGACUCAGUGAAAUUGAAAUCGCCGUGAAGAUGCGGUGUACCCGCGGCUAGACGGAAAGACCCCGUGAACCUUUACUAUAGCUUGACACUGAACAUUGAAUUUUGAUGUGUAGGAUAGGUGGGAGACUUAGAAGUAGUCACGCCAGUGAUUAUGGAGUCGUCCUUGAAAUACCACCCUUUAACGUUUGAUGUUCUAACGAAGAUUACGAAACGUGGUCUCGGACAGUGUCUGGUGGGUAGUUUGACUGGGGCGGUCUCCUCCCAAAGAGUAACGGAGGAGCACGAAGGUUUGCUAAUGACGGUCGGACAUCGUCAGGUUAGUGCAAUGGUAUAAGCAAGCUUAACUGCGAGACAGACAAGUCGAGCAGGUACGAAAGUAGGUCAUAGUGAUCCGGUGGUUCUGAAUGGAAGGGCCAUCGCUCAACGGAUAAAAGGUACUCCGGGGAUAACAGGCUGAUACCGCCCAAGAGUUCAUAUCGACGGCGGUGUUUGGCACCUCGAUGUCGGCUCAUCACAUCCUGGGGCUGAAGUAGGUCCCAAGGGUAUGGCUGUUCGCCAUUUAAAGUGGUACGCGAGCUGGGUUUAGAACGUCGUGAGACAGUUCGGUCCCUAUCUGCCGUGGGCGUUGGAGAAUUGAUUGGGGCUGCUCCUAGUACGAGAGGACCGGAGUGGACGCACCACUGGUGUUCCGGUUGUGUCGCCAGACGCAUUGCCGGGUAGCUAAGUGCGGAAGAGAUAAGUGCUGAAAGCAUCUAAGCACGAAACUUGCCAAGAGAUGAGUUCUCCCAGAUUACAAAUCUGUAAGGGUUGUUUAAGACUAAGACGUAGAUAGGUGCGGUGUGUAAGUGUAGUGAUACAUUGAGCUAACGCAUACUAAUUGCCCGAGAGGCUUAACUAU